Molecule: transfer RNA, 88 nt
Filed under: Endomicrobium sp.
Lineage: Bacteria; Pseudomonadati; Elusimicrobiota; Endomicrobiia; Endomicrobiales; Endomicrobiaceae
Description: tRNA-Ser
Rfam family: tRNA
About the family: Transfer RNA (tRNA) molecules are approximately 80 nucleotides in length. Their secondary structure includes four short double-helical elements and three loops (D, anti-codon, and T loops).
Source: RNAcentral
GGAGAGGUGGCCGAGCUGGUUGAAGGCGUUAGUCUCGAAAACUAAUGUACGAAAAAAUGUAUCGAGGGUUCGAAUCCCUCCCUCUCCG